GGGGCGGAAACCCCCCUAACACUUAGCACUCAUCGUUUACGGCGUGGACUACCAGGGUAUCUAAUCCUGUUUGAUCCCCACGCUUUCGCACAUCAGCGUCAGUUACAGACCAGAAAGUCGCCUUCGCCACUGGUGUUCCUCCAUAUCUCUGCGCAUUUCACCGCUACACAUGGAAUUCCACUUUCCUCUUCUGCACUCAAGUUUUCCAGUUUCCAAUGACCCUCCACGGUUGAGCCGUGGGCUUUCACAUCAGACUUAAAAAACCGCCUACGCGCGCUUUACGCCCAAUAAUUCCGGAUAACGCUUGCCACCUACGUAUUACCGCGGCUGCUGGCACGUAGUUAGCCGUGGCUUUCUGAUUAGGUACCGUCAAGAUGUGCACAGUUACUUACACAUAUGUUCUUCCCUAAUAACAGAGUUUUACGAUCCGAAGACCUUCAUCACUCACGCGGCGUUGCUCCGUCAGGCUUUCGCCCAUUGCGGAAGAUUCCCUACUGCUGCCUCCCGUAGGAGUCUGGACCGUGUCUCAGUUCCAGUGUGGCCGAUCACCCUCUCAGGUCGGCUAUGCAUCGUUGCCUUGGUAAGCCGUUACCUUACCAACUAGCUAAUGCAGCGCGGAUCCAUCUAUAAGUGACAGCAAGACCGUCUUUCACUUUUGAACCAUGCGGUUCAAAAUAUUAUCCGGUAUUAGCUCCGGUUUCCCGAAGUUAUCCCAGUCUUAUAGGUAGGUUAUCCACGUGUUACUCACCCGUCCGCCGCUAACAUCAGAGAAGCAAGCUUCUCGUCCGUUCGCUCGACUUGCAUGUAUUAGGCACGCCGCCAGCGUUCAUCCUGAGCCAGGAUCAAACCCUC
Molecule: ribosomal RNA, 852 nt
Filed under: uncultured bacterium
Lineage: Bacteria
Description: partial 16S ribosomal RNA
Source: RNAcentral